This 454-nucleotide ribosomal RNA is filed under the name uncultured bacterium. RNAcentral's name for it is "bacterial SSU rRNA". It matches the Rfam family "Bacterial small subunit ribosomal RNA", at positions 923 to 1379 of the family's 1533-position model. The record is from RNAcentral.
GCACAAGCGGUGGAGCAUGUGGUUUAAUUCGAAGCGACGCGCAGAACCUUACCACCUUUUGACAUGCCUGGACCGCCCGAGAGAUCGGGUUUUCCCUUCGGGGACUGGGACACAGGUGCUGCAUGGCCGUCGUCAGCUCGUGUCGUGAGAUGUUGGGUUAAGUCCCGCAACGAGCGCAACCCUCGCCUUUAGUUGCCAUCAUUCAGUUGGGCACUCUAAAGGGACCGCCGGUGGUAAGCCGGAGGAAGGUGGGGAUGACGUCAAGUCCUCAUGGCCCUUACAAGGUGGGCUACACACGUGCUACAAUGGCGACUACAGAGGGCUGCAAACCCGCGAGGGGGAGCCAAUCCCUAAAAGUCGUCUCAGUUCGGAUUGCACUCUGCAACUCGAGUGCAUGAAGUCGGAAUCGCUAGUAAUCGCGGAUCAGCAUGCCGCGGUGAAUACGUUCCCGGGC